AACAGUGUUAUAGAAAAUGAACUCAAAGGCCCAGCUAGUAAUUAUGUGACUUGAAGGAUCAAAGGCCUUGUGGAAAAUAUGAUGCAGUUAGCCCACCCAUUGCUUUAAUGAUUGCUCUAUAUUUUCUCAUGCAUUUGGUAGCUAAUUCCUUCUACUUCUAGUUGUUGCGAUGCUAUUAAUUCCAGUGAACUUUAAGUUGGUUUCUGGUUGAAGCUGUGGCCCUGUAGGCUGAAGAUAUAGUAAUGACAUUAAGACUUUCACAUGCACCGGUUUAAGGCCACUCUAUGUAGAUAGCUCACCAAAAACCCAUAAGUUUUUCCUCCAAAGGAAGAGGAGAAGAGAGAAGAGGAGAACUUAUCUUUUGUUCUUUGCCAAAAGAUGAGUAGAAUUAUGACCGCACUUCUUUAAAGGGCCCUUUAACAGCUGUCUUUCCAUCUUGAAACCCAAGGCUGUUUUGGUCUCCUCCGCAUAUUCCACUCAACUAUUGCCUAUUGCAGGUUGCAUUGGUACACCUCUCUCCCCACUUCCCUCAAUAAUAUCACUUCUUUCUCUGUGUUUGUGCCUUUGCAGCAGGAGGUGUUUGUACAUUUAACAGUCUCUCCUUGUACUCUUAUUUUUCAGGGAAUACCCACUUUUCUACUCAAGAAACUAACACUUUUUCACCUUAAAUAUUCUCUUGCCAAAUGGGUAUUCAUUACUGUUUAACUCCACCCUGCAAUUCUAGCAAAGAAACAUUACACCACAAUUACUGCUUGAAAGUUGGAUUUUUGCAAUGACAUAUCUAUA
RNAcentral lists this unclassified non-coding RNA (786 nucleotides) under Hevea brasiliensis (rubber tree). The record is from RNAcentral. Lineage: Eukaryota; Viridiplantae; Streptophyta; Magnoliopsida; Malpighiales; Euphorbiaceae.